Chiroxiphia lanceolata (lance-tailed manakin) is the source of this 1319-nucleotide long non-coding RNA. RefSeq lists it as uncharacterized. The record is from RefSeq and is a predicted model, not a curated record. Lineage: Eukaryota; Metazoa; Chordata; Aves; Passeriformes; Pipridae. The transcript is spliced from 2 exons.
AUGUCUUUAGAUUGUGUGGAAAUCUCCCUGUCUCAUGUCUUUGAAAGUGGGCAGGCUUACGUAGCCCUCUCCUGAGCCCAUAGCCUUGCAGGUCUCCGUGUUCUGGAUUUUGACCCAAAAGUAGUGAGAGUUGAUCCUUCUGUGCUGCAGUUCUAUAGACAGCUGAGACGUCAUCAGCUUUUAACCCAGGAUUCACUACACACCUAUUCAGAUGCUGAUGAGAAGGAGAAUGUGAAAUGCAGCUGAUAAUACUCUCCUGGUUUCUGUGAAGUGUCAGCACAGACUCCUGAGAUGCAGUGAUCUUGCUAUUGAGUAUAUUUGAUAACAUAGGUAAAGUCAAAGGACUUUUUUUAGCUGUUUGCUUCAUUCAGCUGACUCUGGAUAUAUAGAAGUAUCUCUAUUUUGUGCCUCUGGAAUUUGGAAGGCUUCUGUAGCCCCUUUCUGAGCCCACAGACCUAAGUAAGCACUUCUGUGUCACAGAUGCAACUCCAGCAAACAAAAUGACUGAACAAGGAUGUUCCUGAGGGUCCUUCCUGUGGUUCUAUCCUGCCUGCCUAGUUGCAUUUAAUCCUCCACAUAUAUAGACUGAAACUUGUGUCCCUUUCUUCAAGUAUACCACUGCUGUGAGAUGGAAGGUGUCUGGAUGGAUUGGACCUGUUCACAGGAGCUGCUGACACAAGGGAAAGCAGUGCUAAGUAUCUGGAAUACAUACUUGAUUCUUCUGCAAGCAAGGAGUUGGGCUAUUACUUUACAGCAUGCUGAGGUGUUCCAGAUGCUUGACACCAGGAGGCUUUGCAAAACUUCCUCCACAAGCAGAACUGCCAGUUACAUAUUGCUUGUUAUGCUGAUAUGUAGCGUUUUUAUUAGUCUGUUGCAUAAGACGUGAUUUUUAUUUUUUUAACCCUCUGAGAUGAACUGGCACUGUUUAAAGACAGGAGGAAUUCCUACAUCUUAUACCUGUAAUUAUGGAACUACAAGAAUUGUGAAGUUCUGUUACUCCAUUAGGGAGAAGAUGGGUACUGGUGAGAGUUCCUCUUGUUUAAACACAUGAGGCUUGCUCAAAUGAAAGUUGCUCCUGGAAAAAACUUGUCUGACUAAUAAGGUGGAAGUUUAGUGUGAAAUAGGGAAUAAUGGCUAUGGACAUGUGAAGUGAGCUGUAAUGUCACCUGUUUCAGCAAAAGCAGAGUUAAGCAGAACUAAUAUACUGUCUUAAUUAAGGAAAAGCUUUGGUCUUUGUAUUUUAGCACUUUGUUUAAAGCUUAAGUAACUUGUAUAUUUUAAAAUGUUUAACAUCUUAAAACAUGACAUAACAUUCAGCU